GGGGGCGAAAUGGGUUUCGACGGGGUGAUGGCAGGGUUUAGGAGCAUGGCGGUUUUCCUCUAUUUUACCGUAAAAAAUAGAGGAAAAAACAACUGCCAACACUGGUAGUUACGCCCUUGCUGCUUAAUUAAAAGCAGCAGCCUCGCUUAGGUUCGCAUCCGACCUAAGUUGAGGUUAAAAAUGGAUGCUUAAGGUCUUCUUUUAGUUGCCGAAGGAAGACCGGAUCUUAAAAGGCAACUGGCAAGGUUCUGCCUGUCGGUUGGCGAAGAACCUUGCGAGAAAAAUAAACCGACUAACCAUGUAGAGCCUAAACCCGAAACACUCCGGACGCGGGUUCGAUUCCCGCCGCCUCCAUAA
This 357-nucleotide transfer-messenger RNA is filed under the name bacterium. Its description in RNAcentral is "DTDR01 sp025060715 X2 Standard tmRNA". It matches the Rfam family "transfer-messenger RNA". Rfam says of the family: Bacterial tmRNA, also known as 10Sa RNA or SsrA, is named for its dual tRNA and mRNA-like properties. Its role is to liberate the mRNA from a stalled ribosome. To accomplish this part of the tmRNA is used as a reading frame that ends in a translation stop signal. RNAcentral also lists the same sequence under 1 other name. The record is from RNAcentral.